GACGAACGCUGGCGGCGUGCUUAACACAUGCAAGUCGAACGGAAAGGCCCUGCUUUUGUGGGGUGCUCGAGUGGCGAACGGGUGAGUAACACGUGAGUAACCUGCCCUUGACUUUGGGAUAACUUCAGGAAACUGGGGCUAAUACCGGAUAGGAGCUCCUGCUGCAUGGUGGGGGUUGGAAAGUUUCGGCGGUUGGGGAUGGACUCGCGGCUUAUCAGCUUGUUGGUGGGGUAGUGGCUUACCAAGGCUUUGACGGGUAGCCGGCCUGAGAGGGUGACCGGCCACAUUGGGACUGAGAUACGGCCCAGACUCCUACGGGAGGCAGCAGUGGGGAAUAUUGCACAAUGGGCGGAAGCCUGAUGCAGCAACGCCGCGUGCGGGAUGACGGCCUUCGGGUUGUAAACCGCUUUCGCCUGUGACGAAGCGUGAGUGACGGUAAUGGGUAAAGAAGCACCGGCUAACUACGUGCCAGCAGCCGCGGUGAUACGUAGGGUGCGAGCGUUGUCCGGAUUUAUUGGGCGUAAGGGCUCGUAGGUGGUUGAUCGCGUCGGAAGUGUAAUCUUGGGGCUUAACCCUGAGCGUGCUUUCGAUACGGGUUGACUUGAGGAAGGUAGGGGAGAAUGGAAUUCCUGGUGGAGCGGUGGAAUGCGCAGAUAUCAGGAGGAACACCAGUGGCGAAGGCGGUUCUCUGGGCCUUUCCUGACGCUGAGGAGCGAAAGCGUGGGGAGCGAACGGGCUUAGAUACCCUGGUAGUCCACGCUGUAAACGGUGGGUACUAGGUGUGGGGUCCAUUCCACGGGUUCCGUGCCGUAGCUAACGCUUUAAGUACCCCGCCUGGGGAGUACGGCCGCAAGGCUAAAACUCAAAGGAAUUGACGGGGCCCCGCACAAGCGGCGGAGCAUGCGGAUUAAUUCGAUGCAACGCGUAGAACCUUACCUGGGUUUGACAUGGAUCGGGAGUGCUCAGAGAUGGGUGUGCCUCUUUUGGGGUCGGUUCACAGGUGGUGCAUGGCUGUCGUCAGCUCGUGUCGUGAGAUGUUGGGUUAAGUCCCGCAACGAGCGCAACCCUUGUUCACUGUUGCCAGCACGUUAUGGUGGGGACUCAGUGGAGACCGCCGGGGUCAACUCGGAGGAAGGUGGGGAUGACGUCAAGUCAUCAUGCCCCUUAUGUCCAGGGCUUCACGCAUGCUACAAUGGCUGGUACAGAGAGUGGCGAGCCUGUGAGGGUGAGCGAAUCUCGGAAAGCCGGUCUCAGUUCGGAUUGGGGUCUGCAACUCGACCUCAUGAAGUCGGAGUCGCUAGUAAUCGCAGAUCAGCAACGCUGCGGUGAAUACGUUCCCGGGGCU
This 1345-nucleotide ribosomal RNA is filed under the name uncultured bacterium. Its description in RNAcentral is "partial 16S ribosomal RNA". It matches the Rfam family "Bacterial small subunit ribosomal RNA", at positions 28 to 1381 of the family's 1533-position model. The record is from RNAcentral.